CAGCAGCAGAGUGAUUUCUCGCAGGCUGCUGAUGGGAACUCCUGUGACAGAACACAGGGAAGACACGCGCUACGAUCUCGUCUGACCUGGUGUCACGGGCUCUGUCUACGACCACAAGAGGGAGCCGUUUAUUCACCGAGCAGAAAAAACGCUCUUGUAAUUCCAGAAACUGAGGGUUUUCACUCACACACGAUGCCUGGCGACUGACCCAGUAGAGGAUGAGGGGCUGAAAGAAGUCAAUAGCGCUGCGUUCUCGUAUAAUCUAAACCCUCGAGAGGAACCAUCGUGUCAAGAACACACUUUGUUUGAGGAUGAGAGAACACGGCGGAGACCACUGGACUUCUGUCAACAACCACAACUACAGUGCAUUUCAUUGAAAGACCGGACUCUGCAGUAAAACAUCGGAGCAACACUAUGCCAAAGCAUGUGCUAACCAUUUUGUGGAUGUUGCAAACGAAUGGAAAAUCAAGGAAAAAUUAAGCACCCGUGGCACCGACGGUGCCCGUAACAUUCCACUUUUCUCCCUCCAUUUGAACAGCUGCCUUGAACGGCCCACUCAGGCAUUGUCCUCUGAUAAUGUCAACAAAGUGCUCUGCCUCAGUAACUGGCUGAAUGUAAACAAGGACUAAGUCAAAUUGUUUUUUAUAUGUGCACCUGUUUGAAAGGGAACUGGCACAACGAUGGAACACACUGUGUCUUUGUUGUUGUCAUUUAUGUUACGUUAAUUGUAUUGGUGGUUGGCGGUUUUGAUAUUCAACCUGCACUUUAACGUGGGCCUGGGUUCUGUUCUUAUUUCUAUUUGAGAAUAUAAGAAAAAUUUGUAAAAACAGUGUUUAAAGUUUAAAGAAAGUCUUUUGUGUAGCUUCUACGUUCAUUCCAAUAUUUUAUAUAAAUAAAAAUCUGUUAUAAGCUU
Molecule: long non-coding RNA, 913 nt
Organism: Solea senegalensis (Senegalese sole)
Lineage: Eukaryota; Metazoa; Chordata; Actinopteri; Pleuronectiformes; Soleidae
Exons: 3
Source: RefSeq, a predicted model, not a curated record